Gossypium arboreum is the source of this 488-nucleotide long non-coding RNA. RefSeq lists it as uncharacterized. The transcript has 2 exons. NCBI's taxonomy places the organism in Eukaryota, Viridiplantae, Streptophyta, Magnoliopsida, Malvales, Malvaceae. The record is from RefSeq and is a predicted model, not a curated record.
CCUUGUACAUCUCUUGGGCCACUAACAAUUCUAAAUCUGCCAAAUUCAUGGACCUCUUAGCCCAAAAGCCUGCCAGAUAUUGUAUGCAUGGUUCUUCACAUCUAGUAGGAGCUUAGGAGGGCUUCCCUGCAAUGCAAAGCAAGGUCUCUUUUCAGCAACGUAACCUUCAUAUCAAAUUCUGAUUUCGGGUUGAUUGUGCUCUUUGCUGCUUUGGCAGUGAGCUUAAGGGGACAUUAUAGGACAUUUUGUUUUGUUUAUUUGCUGCUGAAGGUACCUUGCUCUUUCUCUAUCUUUUUCUUCCUCAUGACUCGAGCUUCGCUCAAUGCCUUAAACCAGAGCCUAGUAAACUCAGCCAAUUUCUAUGGGAACUUCAUAUCAAAAUUACCCUUUUCUUCAUCCUCAGCUUCUUCACUUCAAACCAUUGAAAACUCUCAGUGUAAACCGCUCUUAAAUCCACUUUACAAUCUUCUUCCUGAAACCCGAAACCC